CAAUACCGCGUGCGGGACGAAGGCUUUUGGGUCGUAAACCGCUUUUGUUAGGGAAGAACACAAUGACGGUACCUAACGAAUCAGCAUCGGCUAACUCCGUGCCAGCAGCCGCGGUAAUACGGAGGAUGCAAGCGUUAUCCGGAAUUAUUGGGCGUAAAGCGUCCGCAGGUGGUUUAUCAAGUCUGCUGUUAAAUCGUAGGGCUUAACCCUAUAAAGGCAGUGGAAACUGAGAGACUAGAGUACGGUAGGGGUAGCGGGAAUUCCCAGUGUAGCGGUGAAAUGCGUAGAUAUUGGGAAGAACACCAGCGGCGAAGGCGCGCUACUGGGCCGAAACUGACACUCAUGGACGAAAGCUAGGGGAGCGAAAGGGAUUAGAUACCCCUGUAGUCCUAGCUGUAAAC
This 401-nucleotide ribosomal RNA is filed under the name uncultured Antarctic cyanobacterium. Its description in RNAcentral is "bacterial SSU rRNA". It matches the Rfam family "Bacterial small subunit ribosomal RNA", at positions 392 to 807 of the family's 1533-position model. The record is from RNAcentral. Lineage: Bacteria; Bacillati; Cyanobacteriota.